AUGCGUAUGCAGUACUGGUCCAUUGAGGGGGUGCAGGAGGUGUUCGGCGACAAGGUGUGCGUCGACCGCCUCGACAGCUGCACGCUGGAGCGUGGCCACACCAAGACCUUUGCAUGCUGGGUCUGGCUGUGGGACAUGGUGUUCAUCCCCACAAGGCACACCUACUGGAAGCUGCCCCGCGGCAUGGGGAGGGUCGAGGAGAUGGAGGGAUUCUCGCUGCCGGACCGCAGGGUGGCUCCUCCUCCGGGCGUGGCGCGGUACGACCUCCUCAUCCACGUCGACCGCAUUGAAGACUGGACGCCAAGCUCACCAUCCUCCUCGCACUCGGCCAGAGCGGUUUUCCAUCAUCCGGCUCUGACGAUGAUGAUGCGCUGCCACACAUCCACCCGGAGACCUAGACCAUGCACGUUGAGGACGGGUAGCGCGACGAGCAUCACAAGCGGCUGGCUCGUGCGUCGGUGGCGGACACGGGCUGCUGGGGCAUGCCUCUUGGUGGCCCUAGGCACGACCAGGACAAUGAUGGAGCUGGAAGGAGGACCUGGAAGGACGCGAUUUUGGGGCGCAAUCACGGCCACCACGAACAGGGCGAGGCUUCCUCCAAGGAGCGCCCCAACCGUAGCCGCUCCCCCCCCCCAGCGCAUCACUGCUCCAGCAGCUCCAAGGGAAACUGGCAUCAUGGUGCACGCCACAGACGUAAGAAGUGCAGCGCCAAGGAGCACCGCCUGCCUAGCCCUCCCCUCACACGCAUGGCGACGACAUCGAGCAGGUCUUCUCUAA
This 777-nucleotide ribosomal RNA is filed under the name Triticum aestivum (bread wheat). Its description in RNAcentral is "partial small subunit ribosomal RNA". Lineage: Eukaryota; Viridiplantae; Streptophyta; Magnoliopsida; Poales; Poaceae. The record is from RNAcentral.